UCUUUGCUAGUAUAUCGGUUAGUACACGCGCCUGUCAUGUGGUAAAACUCAUUCUAUGUGCGCGCGAAAGCUGGGUUCGACUCCCAGGCAGAGAG
Non-coding RNA from Tephrocybe rancida, 95 nucleotides. The record is from the annotation of a GenBank genome assembly. Lineage: Eukaryota; Fungi; Basidiomycota; Agaricomycetes; Agaricales; Lyophyllaceae.